RNAcentral lists this ribosomal RNA (435 nucleotides) under uncultured Fibrobacter sp. Its description in RNAcentral is "partial 16S ribosomal RNA". It matches the Rfam family "Bacterial small subunit ribosomal RNA", at positions 341 to 776 of the family's 1533-position model. Lineage: Bacteria; Pseudomonadati; Fibrobacterota; Fibrobacteria; Fibrobacterales; Fibrobacteraceae. The record is from RNAcentral.
ACGGGAGGCAGCAGUGGGGAAUAUUGCACAAUGGGGGGAACCCUGAUGCAGCAACGCCACGUGUGGGAAGAAGCAUUUCGGUGUGUAAACCACUGUCGUGAGGGAAUAAUGCUCGCUCUCGGUUAAGUUGAAUGUACCUCGAAAGGAAGCACCGGCAAACUUCGUGCCAGCAGCCGCGGUAAUACGGGGGGUGCAAGCGUUGUUCGGAAUCACUGGGCGUAAAGGGAGCGCAGGCGGAGAUGCAAGCAGUCUGUACAAUACCGGGGCCCAACCCCGGACCUGCAGACUGGACUGUUUCUCUUGGAUAGUUCAGGGGCAAGCGGAAUUCCUGGUGUAGCGGUGGAAUGCGUAGAGAUCAGGAAGAACACCGAUGGCGAAGGCAGCUUGCUGGGGACUUAUCGACGCUCAUGCUCGAAAGUGCAGGUAGCAAACAGG